GGGCGAUUAGCUCAGUUGGUCUAGAGCGUCUGGUUUACACCCAGAAGGUCACAGGUUCGACCCCUGUAUCGCCCACCA
This 78-nucleotide transfer RNA is filed under the name Patescibacteria group bacterium. RNAcentral's name for it is "tRNA-Val". It matches the Rfam family "tRNA". Rfam says of the family: Transfer RNA (tRNA) molecules are approximately 80 nucleotides in length. Their secondary structure includes four short double-helical elements and three loops (D, anti-codon, and T loops). Further hydrogen bonds mediate the characteristic L-shaped molecular structure. tRNAs have two regions of fundamental functional importance: the anti-codon, which is responsible for specific mRNA codon recognition, and the 3' end, to which the tRNAs corresponding amino acid is attached (by aminoacyl-tRNA synthetases). tRNAs cope with the degeneracy of the genetic code in two manners: having more than one tRNA (with a specific anti-codon) for a particular amino acid; and 'wobble' base-pairing, i.e. permitting non-standard base-pairing at the 3rd anti-codon position. RNAcentral also lists the same sequence under 2 other names. The record is from RNAcentral.